RNAcentral lists this ribosomal RNA (431 nucleotides) under uncultured bacterium. RNAcentral describes it as "partial 16S ribosomal RNA". It matches the Rfam family "Bacterial small subunit ribosomal RNA", at positions 29 to 507 of the family's 1533-position model. The record is from RNAcentral.
AACGAACGCUGGCGGCAGGCCUAACACAUGCAAGUCGAGCGCCCUUUCGGGGGAGCGGCGGACGGGUGAGUAACGCGUGGGAAUAUGCCCUUCUCUACGGAAUAGCCUCGGGAAACUGAGAGUAAUACCGUAUACGCCCUGUGGGGGAAAGAUUUAUCGGGGAAGGAUUAGCCCGCGUUGGAUUAGGUAGUUGGUGGGGUAAUGGCCUACCAAGCCGACGAUCCAUAGCUGGUUUGAGAGGAUGAUCAGCCACACUGGGACUGAGACACGGCCCAGACUCCUACGGGAGGCAGCAGUGGGGAAUCUUAGAAAAUGGGGGCAACCCUGAUCUAGCCAUGCCGCGUGAGUGAUGAAGGCCUUAGGGUUGUAAAGCUCUUUCAGCUGGGAAGAUAAUGACGGUACCAGCAGAAGAAGCCCCGGCUAACUCCGUG